ACUGCAUAUGUGGGUGUAGCUCCAACCAUCACACAGGCAGGAAAGAGGUGGCCACUCUUAAUUUUGAGAAAGCAAACGUUCCCUCUCACCACAUUCCACUGUAGCUAGCACUUUGCUCACAGCUGGUGACACGGUAAAGGGGGGGGGGAUGGGGCCUUUAACCUGUCUCAGUCUUAUGUGGCUGCCUGGGGAGUGGGGGUGGGGGGCUAACACUUCGAGGUCCACCUAGAGGAAGGGAUAGCCCUGUGCAAGCAGCUGGGGUAGUCUUUCUGAAACACUCAACUCCAGCAACACUCUGUUACCUCCUCCACAAGACGAGGGGCUGUCAAGAUAGUGCCUUUCUUCCUCUCAUUCAGCCUGGCAUCCUGAGGUUCUGGAGACAUUUCCUGCAGCCCAGUGGCCUGCUGUACCUUCAGGUACACAGGGUUAUGUAGGAUGGGCUGUAUCCCCAAUGCUCCAGCUGCUGGGAGACAGGGUCCUGGAGCUGGACCCAGGGAACAUUGGGUACCCGGGACCUAACUUUAUCCUUAUCUCACAGCCCGAACUUCUAGUGUGUGCCCUGUUCCCUUUAGGUAAACAAGAGGUAACAGGAGAGGUCAGGGGGUAAGUGACAUGCUAGUGUCCAGUGUAGGCCUGUUGGCAGUAGGCAGGAGCAACCAUGCAUGGCAUUGUUGCCACUUUGACUCUUCCAAACCCGCUGUCUGUUCUUCCCCCACCCCCCGGGGUGGUUGGCCCUGGGGGAGGCAGGG
Molecule: long non-coding RNA, 749 nt
Filed under: Rattus norvegicus (Norway rat)
Lineage: Eukaryota; Metazoa; Chordata; Mammalia; Rodentia; Muridae
Description: long non-coding RNA NONRATT023923
Source: RNAcentral